GUGGCUGAUGAUGAGGAUGCCUCCCACUCAUGUUCAAGUUUCCCGACCAUGAGAAGACUCCACACGCACUACCAUCAGAGGCUAU
Small nucleolar RNA from Cavia aperea (Brazilian guinea pig), 85 nucleotides. Lineage: Eukaryota; Metazoa; Chordata; Mammalia; Rodentia; Caviidae. The record is from Ensembl.